Homo sapiens (human) is the source of this 3027-nucleotide long non-coding RNA. Ensembl annotates it as colorectal neoplasia differentially expressed. Its record names the gene CRNDE. Lineage: Eukaryota; Metazoa; Chordata; Mammalia; Primates; Hominidae. The record is from Ensembl.
GGUAACGGCCCGCGCGCGCCGCCCGCCGGGGGCUCGCGCCAGCCACGAGGGAGCGUCCGCGGCCCGCGCGCCCGCGCGGCGGAGGAGAGGUGUUAAGUGUGAUGCUUCCAUAAUACAUUUGGAUGCUGUCAGCUAAGUUCACUUCUGAACUAAGGGGUUCCUCCAAAUGUUGGCUGAAAUUCAUCCCAAGGCUGGUCUGCAAAGUCUGCAAUUCAUAAUGGAGCUACUGUACUGGCUAUUGGAAGGAGGAGAUUCUGAAGAUAAGGAGUUCUCUUGUAGGAUGCCACUGGAAAUGUUGAAAUGAAAAAUAUUCAGCCGUUGGUCUUUGAAAUUUCCUGUGAUGUGUUUCAAUCUAGAUGCAAAGAACAUGGAAAAAUCAAAGUGCUCGAGUGGUUUAAAUAUGUUUUGGGUAUUCCUGUUUAUAGACUAUAAUACUUUUCCAAUUAAAAUCCUCAGUUGUCACGCAGAAGAAGGUUAAGCUGUAUUUGAUUGCCAGUUUUACUGAAAAUGCUUAGUAUUUUACAGUAUCACCAAAUAUAUUUUGUUUAGCCAAGGUAUAGGAAAAAUAAAAUAAAUUGUAUAGGUUGACUUUUUUCUAAAAUGUCUUUAUUGGAUUGAAUGAAUGUUUAUACCUGAAAAAAAAAGGUUCAAAAAAAUUCCUUUUUCUAUCAGAGUCAUUCUUUUGACAAUCAGAUAUUAGACUAGGUUUAAAAUAACUUUCUAAUAUGACUCAUAUUUAUGGGAGGAAAAAGACUUGAAAGAUAUUCCUAUGUGUACUUUAAUUUUCUGUAAUAGUCCCUCUGGAAUAGAAUAUCUCUUCCUCAAACAAAUCUAUUGGCUCAUUUCAUAUACAAGAAAAAGUUGCCCUAAAUGGCAGAGUUUCAUCUCUGUAAAGAAGGCUGACAUCCACUUCCUUCACAGAAUCCCUGCAUUUGGGUAAUUGAGUAAUGAUAGAUUACCUUGCCAUUGGGAAAUACCUUGUUGUGGCCUUUGUAGCAGCUAUAGGAAGAUGGAAGAAUUCUUUUGUAUAGACAGGUCUCUAGCCUCUUUGGUGUGGACACUGUGAAGGGGUACAUCUGGUGAGAAGGAGUGCUUAGGGAAGGAACUGGGAAGGUCCACAAAGGCUGAUGAUGACAAAGAAUCCAAGGGCUAUGAUGAAUUCUUAAGCUUAGAUCUCAGAGUCAUAAAGUAAAUUUAUUAGGCUAGAGAGAUUUCCUUUUUUAUUUUUGAUCAAACUUUAUUUUUUCAGAUUGUUAAGUUCACAUGCAGUUGUACAAAAUAAUACAGAGAUCUUUGAACACUACCCAGUUUCUCCUAAUAGUAACUUCUUGCAAUAUACUGUAUAGCACAGCAUCACAACCUGGAUACUGACAUUGAUGCAGUCAAGACAGAGAACAUUUAUAUCAUGAGGAGGAUCCCUCAUUACCGCCCUUUGAUAUCCACCCCUACUUCCAGACCAUCUCACUCCUCCCUUAACCCUGGCAACCACUAGCAUGUUCUCCAUUUCUAUAAAUUUGCCUUUAUAGGAAUGUUAUAUAAUUGCAAUUAAAGUGUGUAACCUUUUGGGGUUUGACUCACCCGGCAUCAUUUUCUGGAGAUUCAGCUUAUAUGUGUCAAUAGUUUGUUCCCUUUUUUUUAGUUCAGUAGUAUUCUGUGGUACGUGUGUACCACAUCACUCAUCAAUUCGGACUUCUGGGUUGUAUCUGGUAUUUGAUUAUUACAAAUAGAAGUACUAUAUAUAUAUUCGUGUAGAGGUUUCUGUGUGAACAUAAACUUUCAUUUUCCUGGGACAGAUGCCCACGAGUGAAAAUUGUGAGUCAUAUGGUAAUUAUGUAGAGUAUUUUUUUUUUGAGACGAUUUGUUUAUGAUUUUAAAACAUAAAAAUAUAAGUUGUAGCCAAAUAUAAGGAAGGAUUUUUCCACAAUCUAGACUUUAUUCUUAUUUUAGAGAAAUACUUUUGAAAAAAUUGCUUUAUUGGCAAACAAUUCCUAUGUAAAGGAAUAAAAGACGCAUAUACUCUAGGAAAGAUGUUGCAAAGCUGACAGGCAACUUUGAGAAAGAUGAGGGCAGUUUUCCAGUGUUACUGGAGACUUGACAUUCAAGGAUGUAUUAUGAUAGUUUCUGAAUUGAUAGAUUCUUUAGCGUUUGUCACUACCCUCAGGCCUGCAGUUUUUAUUUGUAGAAUUAACUCAUCUUUACAAUGCUUUGUUGAGUGCUGUUGCAGAAAAUGCUCAUGUAAUUCAAUUAUAUGCAGUUAGGAAAAAGAAGUAUCUUUUUCUAGUACAUGGCCCCUAAAAUGAUGACUUUCCACAAUGCUGAAUGGAGGAAACAGCUCUGUUUCCAUCAAACUCUGGUGGAAAUUAUACAAAGUUAUAUUAUGCUUUAUGAGACAUAGUGAGGUAGUACACAACCAUAUAUGCUAUAUUAUUGGGGAGACCCACUGAAAGAAUUUUCAAGGAUAAUUUUUGCUCUGAUUUUCUAUCAUGUAUAUUGACUUUAUUGAUUGAUUGAUUGAGAUGGAGUCUCACCCCGUCACCCAGGCUGAAGUGCAGUGGUGCAAUCUCUGCUCACUGCAACCUCCGCCUCUCAGGUUCAAGUGAUCCUCGUGCCUCAGCCUCCCGAGUAGCUGAGACUAUAGGUGUGUGCUACGAUGCCCAGCUAAUUUUUGUAUUUUUAGUAGAGACAGGAUUUGGUAGCCUGGUCUCGAACUCCUGACCUCAGGUGAUCUACCCACCUUGGCCUCCCAAAAUACUGGGAUUACAGGUGUGAGCCACCGUGCUGGCCAAGUAUAUUGACUUUAAAACGUUACCGGCUGGGCGUGGUGGUUCACGCCUGUUAUCCCAGCACUUUGGGAGCCCGAGGCGGAUGGAUUACCUGAAGUCAGGAGUUCGAGACCAGCCCAACCUGGUGAAACCCCGUCUCUACUAAAAAUACACAAAUUAGCCGGGCGUGGUGGCAGGCGCCUAUAAUCCCAACUACUGGGAAGGCUGAGGCAGGAGAAUUGCUUGAACCUGGCAGGCGGAGGCU